RNAcentral lists this small RNA (697 nucleotides) under uncultured Ascomycota. RNAcentral's name for it is "eukaryotic LSU rRNA". The stretch from base 269 to 422 matches the Rfam family "5.8S ribosomal RNA". The record is from RNAcentral. Lineage: Eukaryota; Fungi; Ascomycota.
CUUGGUCAUUUAGAGGAAGUAAAAGUCGUAACAAGGUUUCCGUAGGUGAACCUGCGGAAGGAUCAUUAGUGAAUCUUCAAAAGUCGGCCCGUCGGAUUGUGCUGGUGGAGACACAUGUGCACGUCCGUCGGGUCGCAAACCCACACACCUGUGCAUCUAUGACUCUGAGUGCCACCUUGCAUGGCCUUGAUCGGCCUGGCGCUCGAGUACUUUUCACACUCCCGAAUGUAAUGGAAUGUCUUGUUGUGCGUAACGUACAAACUGAAACAACUUUCAACAACGGAUCUCUUGGCUCUCGCAUCGAUGAAGAACGCAGCGAAAUGCGAUAAGUAAUGUGAAUUGCAGAAUUCAGUGAAUCAUCGAAUCUUUGAACGCACCUUGCACCCUUUGGUAUUCCGAAGGGUACGCCCGUUUGAGUGUCAUUGUAAUCUCACUGCGAUCGACUUUUGUCUUUCCGUAUGUGGACUUGGACGUCUGCCGUGGAUAUCUACGGCUCGUCNNNAAUGCCUCAGUGUACCCCGCAGAGCGGCGUAUUCGGUGUGAUACAUCUUCACCGGAGUUGAUCCUUCACGGGGUCACGUCUGUAAUGUGUGGCUCUAUGCUUCCAACCGUCCUCUGAUCGGACAAUCUUUGACAAUUCGACCUCAAAUCGGGUGGGACUACCCGCUGAACUUAAGCAUAUCAAUAAGCGGAGGAA